Molecule: unclassified non-coding RNA, 379 nt
Filed under: uncultured Oligoflexales bacterium
Lineage: Bacteria; Pseudomonadati; Bdellovibrionota; Oligoflexia; Oligoflexales
Description: contains 16S-23S intergenic spacer region
Source: RNAcentral
UCCGAGUUGUCACCGGCAGUCUCGCAUGAGUCCCCAACUAAAUGCUGGCAACAUGCGACGGGGGUUGCGCUCGUUGCGGGACUUAACCCAACAUGUCACCACACGAGCUGACGACAGCCAUGCAGCACCUGUCAUCCUGUGGUAUUGCUACCAAGACCGUAUCUCUACGGCUGUCAGGAGAUGUCAAAUCCAGGUAAGGUUCUUCGCGUUGCUUCGAAUUAAACCACAUGAUCCACCGCUUGUGCGGGCCCCCGUCAAUUCCUUUGAGGUUUAGUCUUGCGACCGUACUUCCCAGGCGGGGUACUUAGUGCGUUAGCGCCGAUUCGGCGGGGGUCAAGACCCACCAAAUCUAGUACCCAUCGUUUACAGCGUGGACUAC